GAUCAUGGCUCAGAUUGAACGCUGGCGGCAUGCUUUACACAUGCAAGUCGAACGGUAACAGGCCUUCGGGCGCUGACGAGUGGCGAACGGGUGAGUAAUGCAUCGGAACGUGCCCAGUCGUGGGGGAUAACUACUCGAAAGAGUGGCUAAUACCGCAUGUGAUCUACGGAUGAAAGCAGGGGACCGCAAGGCCUUGCGCGAACGGAGCGGCCGAUGGCAGAUUAGGUAGUUGGUGGGAUAAAAGCUUACCAAGCCGACGAUCUGUAGCUGGUCUGAGAGGACGACCAGCCACACUGGGACUGAGACACGGCCCAGACUCCUACGGGAGGCAGCAGUGGGGAAUUUUGGACAAUGGGCGAAAGCCUGAUCCAGCCAUGCCGCGUGCAGGAUGAAGGCCUUCGGGUUGUAAACUGCUUUUGUACGGAACGAAAAGACUCUGGUUAAUACCUGGGGUCCAUGACGGUACCGUAAGAAUAAGCACCGGCUAACUACGUG
Molecule: ribosomal RNA, 495 nt
Filed under: uncultured bacterium
Lineage: Bacteria
Description: bacterial SSU rRNA
Rfam family: Bacterial small subunit ribosomal RNA
Source: RNAcentral